This 200-nucleotide ribosomal RNA is filed under the name uncultured bacterium. RNAcentral's name for it is "partial 16S ribosomal RNA". It matches the Rfam family "Bacterial small subunit ribosomal RNA", at positions 1303 to 1500 of the family's 1533-position model. The record is from RNAcentral.
GUCUGCAACCCGACUACAUGAAGCUGGAAUCGCUAGUAAUCGCGGAUCAGAAUGCCGCGGUGAAUACGUUCCCGGGUCUUGUACACACCGCCCGUCACACCAUGGGAGUCGGAAAUGCCCGAAGUCUGUGACCCAACCUGAGAAGGAGGGAGCAGCCGAAGGCAGGUCGGAUGACUGGGGUGAAGUCGUAACAAGGUACC